GGCUCCAAGCUUCAUAGCGAUGCAGAUAAAAUUCAAACACUGUCACUGAAGACUAGACCUUGUUGGAGUAACAUUUUUCCCACUGUAGGAAGUAGAGGAAGAGAUGAAGAGUGUUGUUAAGAAGAGCUUGGAAACCUGGGAUAAUACACCUAAGCUUUUUGCUUUUCAGAAAGCAGCAGCAGAUCUAUGGCAGUAUACCAAAAGCAACGCUCACAUGGCAGGGAUGGCUGUUGCUACUGCUGCCACCCCACAGCCUUUCCUUUCCUGGAGCUCUGACAUGGUCAAAAUAAGCAGUGCGAUCAUUUUGCUGCCACUUGCAAACUGUGACUUUAGGCAAGGGUCCUGGAUGCAAUGGUGGGAUGCACUGGACUCCAUUGCUCCUCAUGUGGUCAUGUGUGAGUGCUGUUGGUUCCAAUCCAGGGAUGGAGCAACAAUUGAUCCUGGGCAGGAUGUCCAUCUAAAGAGACUUUUUGACUUACUCCAGAAUUACAUAUGGAAACCUCCACUGAAAUCCAACAGCCAAGACUACAUCAAUAAAAGUGCUUGGAAAGGCAAAGCCUGCUCACAUGAAGAACAGUCCAAAACAGACUUUGUCCAAAGAUAACAGCUUGUGGUCCCAGAGAUGGCUCCAGGAAAACAGGAAACAACCUCAAGCUGUACUGGGGGAGACUCAGGUUGGAUGUUAGAAAAAAUUUAUUUUCUGAAAGAGGUGUUCCAUCCCUUGGAUCAUUUUUGUGGCCCUCCUCUGGGCACACUCCAGCAGGUUCAUCUCUCUCCUGUAUUGAGGACUCCACAUCUGGAUGGAAUACUCCAGCUGGGGCCUCACCAGCAGAGUAGAGGGGCAAUAUCACCUUCCUCAACUUGCU
Molecule: long non-coding RNA, 866 nt
Organism: Gallus gallus (chicken)
Lineage: Eukaryota; Metazoa; Chordata; Aves; Galliformes; Phasianidae
Source: Ensembl